RNAcentral lists this ribosomal RNA (318 nucleotides) under Triticum aestivum (bread wheat). RNAcentral's name for it is "partial small subunit ribosomal RNA". The record is from RNAcentral. Lineage: Eukaryota; Viridiplantae; Streptophyta; Magnoliopsida; Poales; Poaceae.
AUGCUUAGUCCGUGGCUGCUGUAUGCACAGAUGCAUGCCCUCUUGCCGGCAAAACAGCAGCAACAGUCACCUCUGGACAUGCCAUCAGUUCCUAGAAGAAAGUGGUGUUCGAGUAGGAAGAGGGAGGAGAUGCAAACAUCACUGCUAAUCCGACCAGUUCAGGAAACACAUAAAGAUGAUAUGUAUCCUUUGAGCAAUAGGAUCAGCUUCAUGUCCAUACGGUCACUACACAUGCCAUGCAGGCGGCAAGAUACGGGCAUGUCCAUCAUCGACUUCGAUGACGGCGAGAUCGACGUGGUGCAGCACAACUCUGUCUGA